GAUGAACGCUGGCGGCGUGCCUAAUACAUGCAAGUCGAGCGAACAGACGAGGAGCUUGCUCCUCUGACGUUAGCGGCGGACGGGUGAGUAACACGUGGAUAACCUACCUAUAAGACUGGGAUAACUUCGGGAAACCGGAGCUAAUACCGGAUAAUAUAUUGAACCGCGUGGUUCAAUAGUGAAAGACGGUUUUGCUGUCACUUAUAGAUGGAUCCGCGCCGCAUUAGCUAGUUGGUAAGGUAACGGCUUACCAAGGCAACGAUGCGUAGCCGACCUGAGAGGGUGAUCGGCCACACUGGAACUGAGACACGGUCCAGACUCCUACGGGAGGCAGCAGUAGGGAAUCUUCCGCAAUGGGCGAAAGCCUGACGGAGCAACGCCGCGUGAGUGAUGAAGUUCUUCGGAUCGUAAAACUCUGUUAUUAGGGAAGAACAAAUGUGUAAGUAACUAUGCACGUCUUGACGGUACCUAAUCAGAAAGCCACGGCUAACUACGUG
Molecule: ribosomal RNA, 497 nt
Filed under: uncultured bacterium
Lineage: Bacteria
Description: partial 16S ribosomal RNA
Rfam family: Bacterial small subunit ribosomal RNA
Source: RNAcentral